Molecule: ribosomal RNA, 447 nt
Filed under: uncultured bacterium
Lineage: Bacteria
Description: bacterial SSU rRNA
Rfam family: Bacterial small subunit ribosomal RNA
Source: RNAcentral
UACCAGACUCCUACGGGAGGCAGCAGUGGGGGAUAUUGCACAAUGGGGGAAACCCUGAUGCAGCGACGCCGCGUGGGUGAAGGAGCGUUUCGGCGCGUAAAGCCCUAUCGGCAGGGAAGAAGAUGACGGUACCUGACCAAGAAGCCCCGGCUAACUACGUGCCAGCAGCCGCGGUAAUACGUAGGGGGCAAGCGUUAUCCGGAUUCACUGGGUGUAAAGGGAGCGUAGACGGCAGAGCAAGUCUGAAGUGAAAGCCCGCGGCCCAACUGCGGGGCUGCUUUGGAAACUGCCCGGCUAGAGUGCUGGAGAGGUAAGCGGAAUUCCUAGUGUAGCGGUGAAAUGCGUAGAUAUUAGGAGGAACACCAGUGGCGAAGGCGGCUUACUGGACAGUAACUGACGUUGAGGCGCGAAAGUGUGGGGAGCAAACAGGAUUAGAUACCCCAGUAA